ACCGGCUACCUCGAGAAGGGAAAGCUUUCCGAAAUUGAGGGCAUGAAGACCAAGGUGCUUGUAUGGACCAAGGUGACCUCCAUCAAGACCGAGGGCUCAAAGGUCCAUUUCACUGCGGGCAUGAAGAAGACCCGCAGCCGCGAUGCGUAUGAGGUUGUCAGAGAUGGCAUCAUCAUAGACAAGUUCUAGAGCAUACCUGUACCUGGGCUGACAGGUGCAAUGUAAUUACUUAGAUAUGCUACAUUGAAAUCUGUUGUGCUAUCGGAUCGGCCUAACCAACUGUGUUGCUGAAAACUUCCAUCCAUGACUUUUUCUAUAUCUUGACAAUCUGUGCUUGUUUUGCUGUCAUCCUGAUUCUUCCACCAGACCAGAAAGGGUGACCGGACCAGGGCGCCAUGUUGUAUCCAGUUUUUAGUUUUGAAUUCCUCUUGAUCUUUGGGUGUGAUGUGGCCUGUAAACGCCAUCAAGUUUGGAUGCAGGUGGCAAUGCAGGAAAUGGGGAGAAAAAUAGAUUAUGGGUGUGAUUUUUUGCUUGUUUUCUGGCGGAGGGCUUCAUCGGCCUCAAACAGUGCUUGUGCUUUAGUCUGUACUCUACUCCCUCCGUCCCAUAAUAUAAGAGCUACUAGUGUAAAAAACGCUCUUAUAUUAUGGGACGGAGGGAGUACACUUUUGCUUGUUAUCUGAUUGAUUGAUGCUUUGCACAACACAUUGUACCCUUGUCCGUUUUGUUUGUUGCUUUUUGGCCCGGUAGAUGACUUUGUUAAUUCAAAGUUGGUUGUUGGUCGUUGUAAUUUUAUUUUGGGCGGUACAUGACUUUAUUCAUUCAAAGGUGGAUCUUGAGCCUUAGUUCUAGUAGAAAAUAAAACAAACAAAUGCAUAUUACAACAGAUAAUCAACGCAGAACACUAUGAACUGCCUAAACCUAGAGCUUGCAAACAGGAAAUUGCCGAAAUGCACACCGACGCACAACCAUUAUGAUUUGCAUAUUGGAUAUUUGCAAAGCUUAGAAAAACACUCCCCUCUCUUUUCGCCGCCUCCUGCUACCCACCCAUCACCUAUACCGAUGCUAGAUCGAGGCCGCCGCUUCUCUUUCUCCCAAGUGAUAGGAACAGAGAUCAACUUGAGCGCAAACAAACAAGAUAAUCAAGAGAACAGGGGAAGCAGAGGAGUGAUUGGGUUUCAGAUAGCCCGAAUCAUGUCGCACAUACAAGUUCUCUUGGACCGAUCUAAUCUACCAAGUAGCUAGGGUUCCAGAGCUAGUUACAAUACUCGAAGAAAAAGAUGAUGCCCGAUCCGAUGCGAGAGCUACUUAAGGGCAGGCAAUGACCGACGGUAAAGGUGACGGCAGUUAACUGAAGCGCAGUGAACAGGCUUCAGCUAACUGUUAAAUUUGUCGGACGGUAAACAGAGGAGCUGAGCGGCGACGUGAGCCGUUGAUCUGGCGAGCUUCAAUUGUGGCCGUCCAUCGAAUCGUUCUCUUCCCUGCGCCGUUUCUUCAGUCCGUGUCGCUGUCGAUUUCUUCAGUUAUCUUCAGGUUCAGAUUAGUAGAAGGGUCGUGAGUCUGACACCGAGUCCAUCUCGAUCGACCGUCUCCUGGUCUAGACUCUCGUUCACUCCCCAUGGCCGGAGAAGACCCACUCCGCCGGGACACCGGACUCCUCCCUUUCAACUCGGACUAUACAACUCCGACACCAACCCCCUACUCGAGGAACACGGAGGAAGAUGCUAUAAAGGCCUGCCGAUCCCCUCAACUUCCUCCUCACAUCGCACCACGAGAUCAAGGAUCCAAGGAUCGUUUACCCACUUUCCAAGGAAAACAAUCGAAUCGAGACAAACUCGCGUCUCAUCCCAUGGCGAGCCAGGGCGACGCGAGCGGGAAGAAGGACUACUCCACGGCGAUCCUGGAGAGGAAGAAGUCGCCGAACCGGCUGGUGGUCGACGAGGCGACCAACGACGAGAACUCCACCGUCGCCCUGCACCCGAACACCAUGGACAGCCUCGAGCUCUUCCACGGCGACAUCGUCCUGCUCAAGGGCAAGAAGCGAAAGGACACGGUCUGCAUUCUACUCCCAGACGACACGUGCGACAAGACCAAGGUCCGGAUGAACAAGGUCGUCCGGAAGAACCUGAGGGUCCGGCUCGGCGACGUCGUCUCCGUCCAUCAGUGCCCGGACGUCAAAUACGGGAAGCGCGUCCACGUACUCCCCGUCGACGACAUCGUCCAAGGGAUCGCCGGAAACCUGUUCGACGCCUUCCUGAGACCCUACUUCCUCGAGGCCUAUCGUCCCCUCAGGAAAGGAGACCUGUUCCUGGUGAGAGGCGGCAUGACGAGCGUGGAGUUCAAGGUUGUGGAGACCGACCCCGCGGAGUACUGCAUCGUCGCGUCUGACACGGAGAUAUUCUGUGACGGCGAGCCUGUCAAGCGGGAGGAUGAGGAGAGACUCGACGACGUAGGCUACGACGAUGUCGGUGGGGUCAGGAAGCAGAUGGCCCAGAUCAGAGAGCUGGUUGAGCUCCCACUGCGCCACCCCCAGCUGUUCAAGUGCAUCGGUGUGAAGCCUCCAAAGGGCAUCUUGCUGUAUGGGCCACCUGGGACCGGCAAGACCCUCAUUGCUAGAGCUGUGGCCAAUGAAACAGGGGCCUUCUUCUUCCUGAUCAAUGGCCCGGAGAUCAUGUCGAAGAUGGCCGGAGAGAGCGAGAGCAACCUCAGGAAGGCGUUUGAAGAGGCCGAGAAGAAUGCUCCGGCCAUCAUCUUCAUCGAUGAGAUCGAUUCCAUAGCACCAAAGAGAGACAAGACCAACGGAGAAGUCGAAAGGCGUAUCGUCUCACAGCUGCUCACUCUCAUGGAUGGGCUUAAGUCCCGUGCACAUGUUAUUGUCAUGGGCGCUACCAACCGCCCGAAUAGCAUCGACCCUGCUCUCAGAAGGUUUGGCAGGUUUGACCGGGAGAUCGACAUCGGAGUCCCCGAUGAAGUUGGGCGGCUUGAGGUUCUCCGGAUUCACACCAAAAACAUGAAGCUAGCUGAAGAUGUUGAACUGGAGCAUGUCUCAAGGGACACUCAUGGGUAUGUCGGCGCUGAUCUCGCCGCCCUUUGUACCGAGGCUGCUCUCCAGUGCAUUCGCGAGAAGAUGGAUGUUAUCGACCUCGAGGAUGACACCAUUGAUGCUGAGAUACUAAAUUCUAUGGCUGUCACGAAUGACCAUUUCAAGAUUGCACUGGGGACAAGCAACCCUUCCGCUCUUCGUCAAACUGUCGUGGAAGUUCCAAAUGUCUCUUGGGAAGACGUUGGUGGUCUGGAGGGUGUCAAAAGGGAGCUGCAGGAGACCGUCCAGUAUCCGGUGGAAUACCCAGAGAAGUUUGAGAAGUUUGGCAUGUCUCCCUCCAAAGGUGUUCUGUUCUACGGCCCUCCGGGCUGCGGCAAGACCUUGUUGGCCAAGGCGAUUGCUAACGAGUGCCAGGCUAACUUCAUCAGCAUCAAAGGACCGGAGCUGCUUACCAUGUGGUUUGGUGAGAGCGAGGCCAAUGUGCGCGAGAUUUUCGACAAGGCCAGGGGGUCGGCACCAUGUGUCCUCUUCUUCGAUGAGCUCGACUCGAUUGCCACGCAGAGAGGAAACAGUGUAGGCGAUGCCGGAGGUGCCGCUGAUAGGGUGCUGAAUCAGCUUCUCACCGAGAUGGACGGAAUGAAUGCCAAGAAAACCGUGUUCAUCAUCGGUGCCACCAACAGGCCAGACAUCAUAGACCCUGCCUUGCUGAGGCCUGGGCGCCUUGAUCAGCUUAUCUACAUUCCUCUGCCCGACAUUGAAUCCAGGCUCCAGAUCUUCAGGGCCUGCCUCAGGAAGUCUCCUGUGGCCAAGGAUGUCGACCUGAAUGCGCUCGCCAAAUACACACAAGGGUUCAGCGGCGCGGACAUCACGGAAAUCUGCCAGCGUGCGUGCAAAUAUGCCAUCAGAGAAAACAUUGAGAAGGACAUGGAAAAGGAGAGGCGGCUGAAGGAAAACCCUGAAGCCAUGGAGGAAGACGAGAUGGAUGAGAUCAAGGCUGCUCACUUCGAGGAGAGCAUGAGGUAUGCACGCCGGAGUGUGAGCGAUGCUGAUAUUCGCAAAUACCAGGCCUUUGCUCAGACGCUGCAGCAGUCCCGUGGUUUUGGCAGCGAGUUCCGGUUCCCUGACCAGCCGGCGGCGGGUGCUACAGCUGCGGCCAAUCCUUUCGCGGCCGCUGCCACGGCAGCUGAAGAAGAUGAUUUGUACAGUUAAAUCGUGUGUUGUCUCUUGAAGAUCAUGUAACUAUAUUUUUACGUGCAGUGUUGUGAUGUGUAUAUAUGCUGAAGUUUGAAGAUUGUAUCCUCCACCUAAAAGAAAGAAAAAACCAUUUCCUCUCGUCUCCUAUUCCAGUUUGUGUGCCAAGGAUAUAUCCAUUGGCCUGUGGUAAAGUUAUGUUGUUCUGUACAUGCCCUAUCAAAGGGUAAUAGCAAUUUAGCAUUAUACGCGGUGCCAUUUUUCUCUUUGAAAUGUACUAAUUCGAUUCCUUCUCCUACCUAAUAAAUCUUCUGUCAUAUAAUGCUAAAUAAACCUUCUGUCGCACUACACAUUUUGUUGUUGCAAAUGAUUACCUCUACUGAGAAGUAAGAAAUACCCCAGCCUCUCUCGAAUGUUGGCAAAUUAGUUCAGCAUUACCUAAAAGUCUCUACAAUGCACGAGUAUCAAAUUUUUGGAUUCUCUGACAAAGUAACCGAAAUAAUUUGCAAGGCAGUAGAUUAUUCAUGUUGGUAUUAAUUAGUUAGUUAUUCACAUAAGAUCCUUUGGCAUCUGCUGUCGCGUCAGCGGAAGAAGACGAUGAUUUAUACUACAGUUGAAUUUUCUGUUGUGCCAUGAGCUUACUCUUAAGAAACACAAACCUUUGAUGUCCUACUGUCUAGUGUCCACGAGUAGAGUCCAAUCAGUGUGCCAGGUAUCGGCAUGUGGUAAUUGUUGUCCCUGUAGAUAGUACCUUUGCUGCUCCCUUAGAUGCUCAGUAUUGGCUUGUUUACUCCGAUCCAUUCACAAUCAACAUUGCUCCACCAUUUCUGAUGUGUGGGUGGGAUGACCAUGCUCUCAAGCUUUAACUUUGGAAGGACUUUUACCCCAGCUGUGAUGGAUUUUUGGUAUGAGGUAGAGCAGAUUGCCUCCAGCAUUAACAAGGUCAAGGGCAUGGCUGCCCAGAAAUAUCUGGCAAUAUACCGACAGCGGAUUUACUCAACCAUGGUUUAGCAUUAUACCUGAAAGUCUCUACAAUGCACGGAUAUCAAAUUUUCGGUUCUCCAACAAAGUAACCGAAAUAAUUUGCAAGGCAGUAGAUUAUUCAUGUUGAUAUUAAUUAGUUAUUCACUGCAAGGCUCAGACCAUGGACAAUCUGAGAAGGGGAAACAUGAAUAAAGCAGAGGAUGUUCAGAAACUGAAACUGUGCAUCUAUCACCUACAAACCUUUUCCUAUUUCUGUCGUUCUUCCGUUCCUACGUUUUUAUAUCCUCUAUUCCGAACAGGGCCUUGGAUAUGUUUUCUCUGCUAGCUUACAUUCAAAUCUGUUGUGCUAUCUGAUCGGCCUAUUAACCAACUGUGUUGCUGAUAACUCCCAUCCAUGACUUUUUCUAUAUCUCCACAAUUUGUUGCUUGUUUUGCUGUCAUCCUGAUUUUUCCUCCAGACCAGAAAGGGUGACCGGACCCGGGCCAUGUUCUAUCCAGUUUUUAGUUUGAAUUCCUCUAGAUCUUGGGUGUGAUGUGGCCUGUAAAGGUCAUCAAGUUUGGAUACAAGUGGCAAUGCAGGAAAUGGAGAGAAAAAUAGAUUAUGGGUGUGAUUUUAACUUGUUUUCUGGCGGAGGGCUUCAUCGACCUCAAGGAGUGCUUGUGCUUCAGUCUCUACAUUUUGCUUGUUAUCUGGUUGAUGCUUUGCACAACACAUUUUAUCCUUGUCCGUUUUAUUUGUUGCUUUUUAAGUCAUUGAAAUUUUAUUUUGACCGUUAGAUGACUUUGUUAAUUCAAAGUUGGAUCUUGAACCUUAGUUGUAGUAGAAUAAAAAACAAAUGCAUAUUACAACAGAUAAUCAACGCAAAAUACUAUGAACUGCCUAGAUCUAGAGCUUGCAAACAGGAAAAUGCCGAAAUGCGCACCGUCAUGCACGCACAAGCAUUAUGAUUUGCAUAUUUGCGAAGCUCGGAGCGCACUCCCUUUUCUUGGACCGAUCUAAUUCUACCAAGUAGCUAGGGUUCUAGAGCUGAUUACAAUACUUGAAGAAAAAGAUGACGCGCGAGCUACUUAAGGGCAGGAAAUGACCGACGGUAAAGGUGACGGCAGUUAAUUGAAGCACAAUGAACAAGCUCGAGUUAACUGUUAAAUUUGUCGGACGGUAAACAGGGGAUCUGAGCGUCGACGUGAGUCGUUCAUCUGGCGAGCUUCAAUCGUAGCCGUCCAUCGAAUCGUUCUCUUCCCUGUGCCAUUUCUUCAGUCCGUGUCUCACUGUCGAUUUCUCGAGUUAGCAUGAAACGGUAUUUUAGUCCUUGUCUCGCUGUUGUUUACUAUAUUACUUUGUUUUUAACAAGAACUGUGGGGAGCUCCAAACGGUAUUUUAGUACAAUAUUUGAAAAAGAUAUACUGAAAAAACUCAAAUAUGUCAAACGCACAUGCGCAUACUUGUAACGUGACAGGAGAAAUCUUCGUUGGUAGUUAGUUCAGGAGGUUCAGAAGGUAGUUUAGGCGUAUCAUCUUAUUAUCUGUUGUAACUAGCUAGGUCUCUCUCCUCCUUAUCUUUCUCCCCGAGAUGUACCUCCGAUCCUCUCCAACUGAUUGUAUGCGCUAUCAGGGUUAUUGCGCCCCUGCUAUAUAACAUGCAACAUGUCCCCUCAUACGAGGUAAGACGUUUCCGCCUAUCGCACAUGCUAAUCAGAGCCUUCUUACUUCCCAUCUAAACUCUCCACGAUUCCAACUGUGCCUAGCCAUGUCUUCCUCCUCCGGCGCCUUCCAACCUAGCCUCAAUGCCCAGGUCACCGAGAAGCUUUCCCGCACGAACUACGUGUUGUGGCGCAUGCAGAUCACGCCUCAACUGCGUGGCGCCGGUGUCUUCGGCUAGUCGACGACACCUCACCGGAACCGGCCAAGCUCCUCUCCGCCAAGGACAAGGAUGGCAAGGAGACCUUUGAGCCCAACCCUCUCCACCCUAUCUGGGUUCGGGAGGAUCAGCAGAUGCUAGGCUACCUGCUGGCCAACCUCUCCACAGAGGUGCUCAUCACAUUGACCACGGUCACCACGGCGCAUGCGCUCUGGACGACGCUGGCGAGCAUGUACUCAUCCCAGUCGCUAAGCCGCGUCAACAACAUCCGCACCUCCCUCAUUAAUGCAUAGAAGGGUAACCAAUCCGUCGCUUCCUACUUCGCCUCCAUGCGCGGCCUUGCUGAUGAACUGGCGGCGGUCGGCAAGCUGAUCCAAGAUGAUGAACUCAUCUCCUACAUCCUCCAUGGGGUGGAUCAGGAAUAUCAGCCCCUGGUCUCGGCCCUCGACGCCCGCGUCACCCUCGCCUCCCUCGACGAGCUCUUCUCCAUGCUCAGCAAUUUCGACCAACGCAUGGCGCAAUUCCACGGCUCUUGCAGUGGAGGCUUCAAGUCGUCUGCCAACGGUGCAACUCGCGGUCGUGGUGGUGGCUCUCGCUUGCGUGGCCCUUCCCAUGGCAAGGGGAGGUGAGGUGGCGGUGUACACAGUGGCGGCAGCGGGCGAUCUGGCAACAAGGAGCGUCACGGUGAUGGUUCUGGCAGGUCACGCCCGGACACUCCGUGCUGUUAGAUCUGCGGCAAGCCUGGCCAAACGGCCAAGGACUGCUGGUACCGCUAUGAUGAACAUGACAAUGACUCUCAAGAUGAGGACAAGAUCGCCGCGGCUGCAGAUGGGUCCUACAGGAUUCACACCGAUUGGUAUGUCGACAAUGGCACCACAAACCAUAUCACCAGUGAACUUGAGAAAGUCACAAUGAAAGAAAAAUACCGCGGCAAAGAUCAUCCACACCGCCGGUGGAGAAGGUAUGAAGAUACGUCACAUUGGUCAUUCAAUUUUUAGUACGCCUUGACGUAGAAUUUAUCUUAAGAAAAUUUUGCAUGUUCCUAGUACCAAUAAAAAUCUUCUUUCCGUUCAUAGAAUUACCAUUGAUAAUCACGUGUUUCUCGAAUUUCAUCCUUACUUCUUUUUGAUCAAGGAUCAGGCAACGAAGAAAAUCCUCUAUCGAGGUAGAUUUGUUCGAGGGCUUUACCUGUUGAUUCCGGAGCGUAGAAGAUUCAGUAAACAAGUCUAUGGUGUCGUCAAACUUUCAUCAACACGGUGGCAUGAUCUAUUAGGACAUGCUUCUUUUUCUUUAGUUGAGAGAUUAUUUAGGAAAAAUAAGCUCCCGUUUGUUGGUGAGCGUCAUAUUGAAACAAUUUGUGAUUCAUGUCAACGAGCUAAGAGUCAUCAGUUAUCUUAUCCAAUAUCUACUAGUGUCUCCAAAAAACCAUUGCAAUUAAUUUUUUCUGAUGUUUGGGGUCCUGCCCCUAGUUCUGUUGGUAGACACACCUACUAUGUUAGCUUUCUUGAUGGCUACAAUAAAUUCUAUUGGAUCUAUCUUCUUAAGAAACAAUCAGAUGUCUUUCAAGUUUUUCAAAACUUUCAAGCUUUUGUUGAACGCAAGUUUGACAACAAAAUCAUUGUUGUCCAAUCUAAUUGGGGAGGGGAGUACGAGAAACUAAACUCCUUCUUCCAAACCCUUGGCAUUUCACACCAUGUGUCGUGCCCUCAUGCUCACCAACGAAAUGGCUCCUCCGAACAUAAGCAUCAUCAUAUCGUUGAGGUUGGGCUUGCUCUUCUAGCAAGAGCUUCUAUGCCUCUCAAAUUUUGGGACGAAGCCUUUCUCACUGCCGUUCAUAUUAUCAAUAUGCUUCCUAGUCGUGUUAUCAAUAAUGAAACUCCAGUCGAAAGGCUUCUCCACACCAAGCUAGACUAUAAGUCUCUUCGUGUUUUUGGAUGCGCAUGCAGGCCCAAUCUCCGUCCAUACAAUAAUCGCAAACUCAUGUUUCGCUCCACACAGUGCGUGUUCCUUGGCUAUAGUGCACAACACAAAGGUGUAAAAUGCCUAGAUGUCUCAACAGGACGUGUCUACAUCUCUAGAGAUGUCGUUUUUGAAGAGAAUAAAUUUCCUUUUGCUGAUCUUCAUCCUAAUGCCGGUGUCCUUCUUCGCAAAUAAAUCCUCUUUUGCCACCUCAUAUUAUCGGUAUUGAUCAAGGAAAAAAAUAUUGAUGAUCAAUUGUUGACUAAUCUCACUAAUAGUGUACAUGAGACUUGUGCUGAUGAAACAGGAGCAAUCAACAAAGAAAUGCAGUUGAAAACGGCCUCAACGGUGAGAAAAUCGGGCCUUAUUUCAUGUGUUCAGAACCAGGAGACAGAUUCUCCUCGGGAUUUGUUCCGCGUCAGGAAAUCCGAUGCUCCUCGGGAUCGGCGGCUGCAGGCGCAGGCACAGGAAUAAGAUUCCCCUCGGGAUCUGGUGCAGCAGGCACAAGCGCGGGCGCACGCGCUGCUUCCGACUCCGCGGGCAACACACGACCUCCUCCUGCUGGCUGUGUCACGUUGCCAGCCCCGCGCCAAUCUCCAUCUACCACUUGGCGUCCAGCGGUUGGCCCGGGCGACACGCGUUUUUGCGGCCAGCCCAUGUGCUACAAGAGGCAGGCUCCGAUGCGCUCCAUCAAUGUGGGGCCCAACAUGGGCGUGGGAUCCGGUGCAGAUUCCUCCACGCCCACCACCCAGCCGACCGGCGUGGACUCCCAUCCUGACAUGCAAUCAUUGGAGCAUGAUGGGCUGGUUCGCAGGCUGGGAUCCUCUGCAGCCCUCACAAGAGCUGAGGCGCGGUCGCUGGCCACAGAAGAUCCGACUGGUUCAACACGUGCUGCUACAGCUGCAGAUUUGCCCUUGGAAUCUGCUGCUGGUGAAACUUCUGUGCAGCCCGCUGGCUCCUCUAUGGCCGCAGAUUCGGCUACACCAUCUCCAAGGCGCACACGACCUGUUAAUUACAAACAUAUAGUUAAAUAUGGUAUGAUUUGUUCUACAGGAGAACCAGGUGAACCAAAUACAGUUGAAGAAGCACUUGGUGGUGAAAAGUGGAGGAAAGCUAUGAAUGAAGAGUACACGGCCCUAAAGAAGAAUAAAACAUGGCAUUUGGUUCCCCCACGGCAAGGUAAAAAUUAGAUUGAUUGCAAGUGGGUAUUCAGGAUUAAAAGAAAAUCUGAUGGAACCAUUCACCGUUAUAAGGCUAGGAUUGUUGCAAAGGGCUUCAAACAGCGGUAUGGUAUAGAUUAUGAGGACACCUUUAGUCCAAUUUUAAAAGCUGCCACUGUUAUGGCGCUGCUAGAAGGAGGGCGCGAGAGGGCCGGUCGGGGGCCUUUUUGCCCACGGCUGGGCAAGAGGGAAGGGAUUUCCUUCUUAAUUCUUGCUUGAUUAGAUUGAUACAUCUCCUCUCUUUAUAUAGAGAGGUUUACUUGACUCCCAAGCAAGGCUUACUUGACCCCUAAGCAAGCAACCCUUAUCUCUAAUUAACCCUAAGACUAAUGGGACCAUUAGGCCCAUUACGUACUCUAACACUACACCCCACCUGGACAUGCAACUUGUCCUCGAGCUGCAGCCUAAAGAACUUAUAACCAUGACUUGACGCAACACAAACCUAACACCUAAAAACAAGCCUUUUACAUCUCGGCUUGUUAUAUUAUUCUCAACCUAAAAUAGACUAGGACACUUUAUUUUGGACAUGCACGUGUACAGCCACCUGGAUCCCAUGGACACCACCUGGACAAAAUGAGUGUAUGUGUAUGGCUGUUGGUCUGCACCGCACAGGGAAGAGUGGAGGGCUUGCGAUGGAGAAUGACGAGGAGGGGUGCGCCCCUCCAACCACCAAUGUCGCAAACUUUGAGGUCGCUGCCCGCAGGGAAAACAACAUGUCGGCCGCCCAUGGGGGAAACCACAUGCCCAAGAUCCCCGACGCAGCGGACGAGAUCGAGGUCCUUUGCGCAGCGAAGGGCAACUUGGAGGAGCGGCAGCUGCAGAGCAUGCAUCUCCCGCACACGCCGACGCGCUAGGAGGCCGCACGCAGCAGCCUGCAGCCUCACCGCCGCCGACACGUGGCGGGUAGCGAUCCAAGACGGAAGCGGUGACGGCAACGACAGGGACUUGAUCUGCUGGAUGUGGACGCCCUGGUAUGGCGGCGGCGCUGAUGGGAACGAGGUCGUCGCACUCCCGUCGUAGGGCAUCCCAUACUGGGCGACGGAGCUGACCGGCGGUGGCUGCUGCAGCUGCAGCGGCUGCUGCGCUGUCGCAUCGGGCGCGGCAGAGGCCGCCAGGAGCGGCGGCUGCCACUGCAGCCAGGGCUGGGUGGUGGUGGUGAUGGAUGGCAGCUGCAGCGGCCCGGCGAGCACGGCGAAGGCCGCCUGGUGCGGCGGCUGCCAUGGCAACCACGGCGGCACGGGGGCGGCGAUGGGCGGCGCAACCGAGUGCGGCCCGUAGGACCCGACCAAGAACAGGUGGAUCUCCUGGACUGCCUGGGUUAGGUCUCGCAGCACCUUGGACACGUCCUCCAAGGUGAGGACGGUGGUGGCGGGCGCGACAGAGGAUACCGACGCGGGCAGGAGCGGGGUGACGGUCGUGGUGGUCGCUGGAGGCGACAAGGUGACCGGCAGUGGAAGAGACGGGCUUGGCGGUGGUGAAGACAUGAUCAAACCGAAGCUAGCUGAUACCAAAUUGUUAUGUGGCUGCUAGAAGGAGGGCGCGAGAGGGCCGGUCGGGGGCCUUUUUGCCCACAGCCGGGCAAGAGGGAAGGGAUUUCCUUCUUAAUUCUUGCUCGAUUAGAUUGAUACAUCUCCUCUCUUUAUAUAGAGAGGUUUACUUGACUCCCAAGCAAGGCUUACUUGACCCCUAAGCAAGCAACCCUUAUCUCUAAUUAACCCUAAGACUAAUGGGCCCAUUAGGCCCAUUACAUACUCUAACAGCCAUCAUCCGUCUUGUUUUGUCUAUUGCUGUUUCCAGAGGCUGGAGUAUUAGGCAGUUAGAUGGCUUUUUCCCUCUAGUUAGGGUUUGUCUUCCUCGAGGGGUGAUCUACGCCACCGUCGAGACCUGUCCUCCCCCGCCCGCGUCUCCCUCCCCUCGCCCGUCCCCUCUCCGGGGGCGCCAGCGGCUGGUAGGUUUCGGGGCAUAGGGUACCUGCAGAAACCCGAUUCGCUGAUAUCUGGUUAGGGUUUCAACAUGGCGGCGGACGGAUCCCCGGGUUCAGCGGGGGUCACGAACAUGGAGAAGAUGAUGCAAGAGCUGGGCUUGAAGGAAGAAGAUCUAGACGACGUGGUCUUUGACGAGAAGGAUGCACCGGAGGCAGCACGAUGGAUUGCAGUUGCUAGGGUAAACUCUGUAAAACCCUACAGUCAGUACUGGUUCUUUCGUAACAUGAGAGCGGCUUGGGAUCUCGCGCAAGAAGUUAAGUUCAAGCCCCUGGAAGACAACCUCUAUACCAUCCAAUUUUCCUGCUUGGGGGAUUGGGAGAGAGUCAUGCACGAGGGACCGUGGCACUUCAGGGGGGAUGCAGUCAUACUGAAGGAGUACGACGGAGUGACGAAGCCAUCAAACGUCAAGCUGGACACAAUAGAGAUCUGGAUUCAGAUACAUGAUGUACCAAUCCUCUAUGCCCAUCUGAUUCCUUCUCUUGCGUCCAAGGUGGGAGAGGUUCUGUUCACGGAACCCCAGUCGCACGAUUUCACGGGAAACUUCCAUCGUGUCUGGGUGAGGAUUAAUGUUGCUAAACCCCUCAAGAAUGCCAUGUCCAUGAUCCGGGGUGGCGAGCGGCAGAUCUAUAAGGUUAAGUAUGAAAAGCUACCGGAUUGGUGCGCCGUGUGCGGCAUGCUGGGCCAUCUUUACAAGGAGCACGGGACAGGCAUCCACCCUCCGUCAGCUCUCGUAUUCAAGGAGCUCAGGGCGUCUUGGGUCAUGAGGAACGGUAGCGGUCCAGGAGGAGGCAGCGGGCGCAGGGGGGGUCGCAGAGGAGGACGGUCUGGCAGAGGAGGGCGCUCACACUCCCAACAGGAUGACAAAGGGGAGGAAUACAGCGAAAAGGACAUGGAGAUGGCUGAUGCUGAGAAUAUCAGGAAGAGAGGAUCGGAGCCAACGCUUCAUCAGGGUGUGGAGGUGCACUCGGGGGCGACAAAGGGGAUGACGCUAGCACUACCCCCUCCCCCCAAUCCAUCGUCGGUGGUCCUAAGCCCAAGCGCAACACAGGAGUCAAAGAGAGCAAAGACAGUGCCGGAGACUGACAAGGUUUCAACAGCAAGAGUUUUGUUUCUUAGCAAGAACGACCAAAAUCAGGCGGGCCCGAGUGACGGGCACCGCCAAGCCCAAUGAGUGUCUUCUGCUGGAACUGUCGCGGCAUGGGCAAAGCCGCGACAGUCCGUGAACUUCGCGAGUUUGCGAAGAAAUUUGCCCCUACCCUUUUGUGUAUUGUAGAAACUCAGCUCGAAGGCUCGAGGGUAGAAGCGUUAGCAGGAACACUUGGUUAUGAUAGGAGUUUUGCUGUUAGUAGCCGUGGUAGAAGUGGAGGCAUUGGUUUGUUUUGGAACAAUGAAAUAAAUAUCGAGAUUUUGGGUUACUCUGAUUACCACCUUGAUUGCUCGUGACGAUCCUUGGAGACUGACUGUAGUUUAUGGAGAAGCUCAGACCCACAUGAGAUACCGCACCUGGGACACUUUAAAAAACAUUAGCACUUUGAGCAGUCUCCCGUGGCUGUGUGUGGGUGAUUACAAUGAGGUGCUAUGUCCGGAAGAACAUGUGGGUGUCGGUCAGCGAAGCAAUGCGCAAAUCCAAGCCUUCAGAGAUGCCGUUGACGUUUGCAUGCUGCUUGAUAUUGGCUAUAUUGGCUUACCAUGGACCUUUCAGAAGAAGGUCACGGGAGGAACCUUCACCAGGGUGCGCCUCAGCAGAGCUUUGGCCUCGGUGGAGUGGCAAGCCCGCUUCCCUUCGGCUGACCUCACGCACCUGGUGGCAGCCACGUCCGAUCACAGCCCUAUUUUGGCGAAUCUGAACAGGGAGCAAAGGCACAACCAGCGGCCGAGUACCUUCAGGUACGAGGUCAUGUGGGAGGGCCAUGAGUCAUGGAGUAGCAAGAUUGCGGAGUCGUGGGCAAAUACAGGCGCAGCCAACAGGUUAGAAGAUCUCCGGGUUAAGCUCUCGGCGGUGUCGCAAGACCUGGGGCGAUGGAAUAAGGACACUUUUGGCAGUGUGCGUAAGGAGAUUAAACGGCUCAAGGGCGAACUCGAGAAGCUGAGAUCGGAUGCAAGUAGAACAGCACCAACACAUGUCGAACUUAAGAUCAAUGAGAAGCUUGUGGAAUUGUACCAUAGGGAGGAGGUCAUGUGGAGGCAGAGAUCCAGGGUCCAGUGGCUCUCUUCGGGAGACACGAAUACCAAAUUUUUCCAUCUACGUGCAAGCAUCCGGCGCAAGAAGAACAUGAUAAAGGCACUGCAUAACUCUCUUGGGGUGCUCACAGAUGAUCUGGACGAGCUGAGGGCCAUGGUGAACGACUUCUACAAAACAUUAUACACUACGGAGGGGGUAAGCAACAUGGAGGCUGUCCUAAACUGCGUCCCAAGGAAAGUAACACUGGAGAUGAAUGAGGUGCUGUGUGCGCAUUACACAAACGAGGAGGUCAAGGCAGCCUUAUUCCAGAUGUUCCCGACCAAGGCGCCAGGACCGGAUGGUUUUCUGGCACACUUUUUUCAGCGACACUGGGAGCUUUGUGGUACAGAGGUGACUGAGGCAGUGUUGAGAAUUGUGAGGGGGGAGGAGAGCCCGGAGUGCAUAAAUGACACCAUCCUUGUUCUGAUUCCCAAGGUAACAAACCCCAGUGUUUUGUCCCAGUUUAGGCCUAUUAGUCUUUGUAAUGUGCUAUACAAAAUUGCAUCCAAAGUCAUUGCAAACAGGCUCAAGCAAAUUCUACCGGAUAUCAUAUCUGAGGAACAAUCGGCCUUCGUUCCGGGCAGACUCAUAACGGAUAAUAUUAUCAGUGCAUAUGAAUGUCUUCAUUUUAUGAAGCGGAGCAAAGCUAAGGCUAACGGUUAUUGUGCACUUAAGCUCGAUAUGAUGAAGGCGUAUGACAGGCUGGAAUGGGACUACUUAGAGGCAAUCAUGGGAAAGCUUGGUUUUGCUCCCCCUUGGAUAAAUACAAUUAUGGGCAUGGUGAGGUCGGUAUCCUUCUCAGUGCUCUUUAACGGUGAAAAGCUUGAUCAUUUCAUGCCGAGCAGAGGUUUAAGGUAGGGAGAUCCGAUAUCCCCCUAUCUCUUCUUAAUUGCAGCGGAGGGCCUCUCGUGCCUCCUGAAAACCAGUUCUUCGUCAUCAAGUAUUGUUGGUCUUAAGGUGGCACCCACGGCCCCGGCCGUUAACCACCUCCUUUUCGCAGAUGACAGCCUGCUGCUAUUUAAGUCAGGGAAUGAGGGGGCAGUAGCAGUAUCAAACCUGCUCGAAACAUACUGUUUGGCUUUGGGUCAGAGGAUAAAUCAUGAUAAAUCUUCGAUUUUCUUCAGCAGAGGAUGCCCACAAGUGGUAAGAGACGAAAUGAAAAAUAUUCUGAAUGUGCAUAACGAGUCCCUUAGUGACAGGUAUUUGGGAAUGCCAACGGAGGUCGGUCACUCGAAGAAUGGAACCUUCAAAUACUUGAGGGACCGAGUUUGGGAGAAGGUCAAAGGAUGGAUGGAAAAGCUAUUAUCUUCAGCGAGGAAAGAGGUACUAAUCAAAGCAGUGGCUCAAGCAAUUCCAGUGUAUUCGAUGGCUUGCUUCCGACUUCCACGGGGACUAUGUGAAAGUAUUACUGUGCUAAUCAGACAAUUCUGGUGGGGAAGUAAGCAGGGGAAUCGAAAACCGAGCUGGGUGGCAUGGGAUGUGGUCACUCUGCCAAAGCAUCUUGGAGGUCUUGGCUUUCGGGACAUGGAGAUGUUCAACUUGGCACUCCUAGCAAGGCAAUCCUGGCGCAUGUUGCAAAAUCCACUGUCUCUCAGUGCGAGGAUCCUGAAAGCAGUAUACUAUCCCAACUCGGACAUUUUUGGAGCAACACUAGGGCCUCACCCCUCACAGAUUUGGCGGGCUAUCUUGGAUGGACGGGAUAUCAUGGUCCAGGGUUUGGUACGCAGAAUUGGAGACGGUGAAUCGACAAAGAUAUGGGAGGACAAUUGGUUGCCGAGACCAAACAUGAAGAGACCGAUCACCUCUCUAGUGCAGAAUCCUCCAACUACAGUAGCUGAGUUGAUAGAUCACACUACAUCAUCCUGGAAGGAGGAUCUAGUCCGGACGGUGUUUAUACCAAUCGAUGCUGCAGCCAUACUGCAAAUACCCCUUUGCACAGGACAGACUGACGAUUUCUGGGCCCGGUCCGAGGAGAGGAAGGGCACGUUCACCGUGCGUUCAGCGUAUCGGAUGAUCCAACUAACGAAGCUCAGCCGCGAGGCAUGGCUUUAUGAAGAUGGCUCGGCUUCUGACUCUCAUGGAGCUGACCAGGGGUGGACAAAACUAUGGCGGAUCAAGGUCCCCUCAAAACUGAAAUUUUUCUUAUGGAGACUCGCCAAGCACUCUGUCCCCACAGCAUCGCUGCUCCAUCAUCGAAAUAUGUCAACUUCCCGAGCUUGCUGCCUUUGUGGGGCGGUUGACACCUGGCGCCAUGCCCUUGUGGAUUGUUCGGUCUCUAGGAGUACUUGGGCGCUGUCUUCAGAGGAGAUUCUCACCAAGUUGAGCACAUGCACAGAGGAAAACGCGAAAAGAUGGUUAUUCGUCAUGCACGAAGCGCUCAACCAAGAUGAUUUCCUUGCUUUCGUCGUCACACUAUGGGCUCUGUGGGGCGCUCAAAGGAAGGCCAUGUACGAGCAUAUCUUCCAGACACCUUAUGCCAUUAACGGGUUUGUAAAAUCCUACAUAGCUGAACUCAAGGCAAUCCAGACUCCGACGGCCGUUGGGGUCAGGGCUCCACAAGCUCGAGGUAACAGAUGGAUGGCACCACCACAGGGCCUGGUGAAGAUCAAUGUUGAUGCCGCCGUAGGCUGGGAGAGAGGUGCAGCAGGAGCUAUCUGUAGAGAUCAGGAUGGAGCCUUCUUGGGAGCUUCGGCGGUGGUCUUCUCUCAUCUUUCAGAUCCAGGCACUUUGGAGAUGCUCGCUAUUAGGGAAGCCCUGGCACUGGCAGAUGACAUAUAUGUCAGGAGGAUUCAUGUUGCGUCGGACUGUAAAGUGGCCAUGGAUGACAUCCAUCAACAAUGCAAAGGAAGCUAUGGGGCUAUUGCACAUGAAAUCAUACAACAUAGGGCAGAAUUUGAGGUUUGUAAUAUACGUCAUGAGUUUAGGAGCUCGAACAUCGAAGCUCACAAACUAGCAAAGCACGCUUUAUCUCUCGGGGUUGGUCGCCAUGUUUGGUUAGGCCAGCCCAACGAUCUUGAUUUCGUCCCUGUAAACAUUGUGACGACGUAAUAAAGCUUUGCAGUUUGUCUAAAAAAAGGCAGUUAGAUGUGCAGAACGCGUUCCUUUAUGGUGUUUUUGAAGAGGAAAUGUACAUGAAACAACCUAUUGGGUUUGAAAGUAAAGGUGCUCCCUCUCAUGUGUGCAAACUUGACAAAGCACUAUAUGGAUUAAAGCAAGCUCCAAGGGCAUGGUAUUCUUGCCUCUGUCAUAAAAUGCUGGCACUUGGGCUUGUUCCAUCAAAAUCUGACACCUCAUUGUUUAUUUACAACAAGUCCAACACAUGCAUUUUUUUCUCAUCUAUGUUGAUGAUAUUAUUGUGAUAAGCUCAUCUAAUGAAGCAAUCACAAGACUGUUAAAAGAUUUGGGUGCAGAUUUUGCCUUGAAGGAUCUUUGAUGGCUUGCAUUUUUUUUGGAAUUGAGGUGAAGAGACACAAGGAAGGACUUCAUCUCUCUUAGGAAAAGUAUGCAACUGAUCUGGUAAAAAAGACUGGCUUGCAAGGUUGUAAACCCUCACCCACUCCUUUAUCCAGCUCAGAAAAAUUAUCUCUUACAGAAUGGACACUCUUGAAUUAAGAGGAUAGCACAAAAUACAGAAGUUUAGUAGGGGCAUUACAAUAUCUCACCCUUACUAGACAUGACAUUUCCUUUGCUGUUAACAAAGUAUGUCAGUUCCUUCAUGCACCCACAACUGUUCACUUGACAGCUGCAAAACGUAUAGUCAGAUACGUCAAAAACACUCUGGGCAUUGGUUUAAAUUUCAGAAAAUCACCCUCUACUCUUGUCAGUGCCUUCUCUGACUCUGAUUUAGCAGGAUGCCUGGAUGACAGACGAUCAACUGGUGGGUUUGCAGUAUUUUUUGGACCUAACCUAAUAUCAUGGUGUGCAUGAAAACACGCUACUGUCUCCCGAUCAAGCACAGAAGCAAAGUAUAAAACAUUAGCAAAUGCUACAACAGAGAUAAUAUGGGUUCAGUCCAUAUUGAAGGAGCUUGGUGUGAAAAAUACACAAAUCCCAUGUCUAUGGUGUGACAAUCUUGGUGCCACUUAUCUUUCUGCAAAUCCAGUGUUUCAAGCCAGGACAAAGCAUAUAGAAAUUGAUUUUCAUUUUGUCAGAGAAAGGGUUGCUCAGAAGCAACUUGACAUUCGUUUUGUGCACUCCAGAUAUCAAGUUGCAGAUGGAUUCACAAAGGCUUUGCCUGUACAAAGUUUUGAAGACUUCAAGCAUAAUCUCAACUUGACCAAGUUAUGAUUAAGGGAGGGUGUCAAACACACAUGCGCAUACAUGUAACGUGACAGGAGAGAUCUUCGUUGGUAGUUAGUUCAGGAGGUUCAGGAGGUAGUUUAGGCGUAUCAUCUUAUUAUCUGUUGUAACUAAGGUCUAUCUCCUCCUUAUCUUUCUCCUCAAGAUGUACCUUUGAUCCUCUCCAACGGAAUGUAUGUGCUAUCAGGGUUAUUGCGCCCAUGCUAUAUAACAUGCAGCAUGUCCCCUCAUACGAGGUAAGAAGUUUCCGCCUAUCGCACAAAAUAGACCACUUCGGUUGAAUGUGAAGAAGCCCAGAACAAUAAUAGUUGUUGCGAGGGUAUGCUAUCUCUCUCUGAAUUUUGUGAUCAGUAUUGGCCAAAGUUUAUCGAGUUCCUAAUUUUUUUAGGGGAGGUUCCUAACUUCAUUUUGUUUCAUCGGGGAAAAUACAUUGAGGUAGGUAAAGAAAUAUUAGAUAUUAGCAAUGUCCUAUUUCGAUAAAUUUGGAUGUUGAAAAAAGUCCACUUUUGACUAAAUUUUGCAUGAACAACAAAUGUAUUUUUGCACAUACUAUUCUAAUUAAACUUGAACAUGAACUAUUUUUUUCUUCCGUUGCAACGCACGGGCAUAUGUGCUCCAUCCGUAAGAAAUUUAAGAGCAUUUAGAUCACUACAGAGGGUGUACUACUGGAACGUGACAACGUUUUAAUAGCUAUUCCUUCUGAAAAGUUAGCAUCGAAAAUCACUGUAAACAGCUUCAACAUCAUGUGACAUGCCUACGCUACAGAAUCUAUCAACUUCUGCCUCCAGUAUAAUAAAUAACAGUGUUCAGAUAAUUAGCGUCACAAUAAUGACCGACGGUAAAGGCGAGCAAGCUUCAGUUAACUGUUAAAUUUGUCGGACGGUAAACAGAGGAGCUGAGAGUCGACGUGAGCCGUUGAUCUGGCGAGCUUGAAUUGGAGCCGUUCAUCGAAUCUUUCUCUUCCCUGCACCGUUUCUUCAGUCCGUGUCGCUGUCGUUUUCUUCAGUUAUCUUUAGGUUCAGAUUAGUAGCACCGAGUCCUCCUCAAUCGUCCGUCUCCUACCUGGAGUGGACUCUCGUUCACUUCCAUGGCCAGAGAAGAUCCACUCUGCCGGGACGCCGGAUCAACUCGGACUAUACAAUUCCGACACCAACACCCCCUACUCCAGUAACAGGGAGGAAGAUGCUAUAAAGGCCUGCCGAUCCCCUCAACUUCCUCCUCACAUCGCACUACGAGAUCAAGGAUCCAAGGAUCGUUUACCCACUUUCCAAGGAAAACAAUCGAAUCGAGACAAACUCGCGUCUCAUCCCAUGGCAAGCCAGGGCGAUGCAAGCGGGAAGAAGGACUACUCCACGGCGAUCCUGGAGAGGAAGAAGUCGCCGAACCGGCUGGUGGUCGACGAGGCGACCAACAACGAGAACUCCACCGUCGCCCUGCACCCGGACACCAUGGACAACCUCGACCUCUUCCGUGGCGACACCGUCCUGCUCAAGGGCAAGAAGCGGAAGGACACGGUCUGCAUUCUACUCCCAGACGACACGUGCGACAAGACCAAGGUCCGGAUGAACAAGGUCGUUAGGAAGAACCUGAGGGUCUGGCUCGGUGACGUCGUCUCCGUCCAUCAGUGCCCGGAUGUCAAAUACGGGAAGCGCGUCCACGUACUCCCAAUCGAUGACACCGUCGAAGGGAUCGCCGGAAACCUGUUCGACGCCUUCCUGAGACCCUACUUCCUCGAGGCCUAUCGUCCCCUCAGGAAAGGAGACCUGUUCCUGGUGAGAGGCGACAUGACGAGCGUGGAUUUCAAGGUCGUGGAGACCGACCCCGCGGAGUACUGCAUCGUCGCGUCAGACACGAAGAUAUUCUGUGACGGCGAGCCUGUCAAGCGGGAGGAUGAGGAGAGGCUCGACGAUGUCGGCUACGAUGAUGUCGGUGGGGUCAGGAAGCAGAUGGCCCAGAUCAGAGAGCUGGUUGAGCUCCCACUGCACCACCCCCAGCUGUUCAAGUGCAUCGGUGUGAAGCCUCCAAAGGGCAUCUUGCUGUAUGGGCCACCUGGGACCGGCAAGACCCUCAUUGCCAGAGCUGUGGCCAAUGAAACAGGGGCCUUCUUCUUCAUGAUCAAUGGCCCGGAGAUCAUGUCAAAGAUGGCCGGAGAGAGCGAGAGCAACCUCAGGAAGGCAUUUGAAGAGGCCGAGAAGAAUGCGCCGGCCAUCAUCUUCAUCGAUGAGAUCGAUUCCUAUAGCAACCAGACCUCAAACAGUUCUCUGUGCUCAGGUGUCAUCCCUGGAUCAGUAAUGCUAACACCACAUAGUACUUGAAGGAUUUAUAACAGAGUAGCAAUCACACGCUUAUUACAUCGAAUGUAUCAAGAGAGAACUUAUUAAAAUAAAUAUGGCUUAAGGCCAUCUAAUAACGAUAACAGCGGAAGACUUGGAAGAUAAGCGAGUCCAUCAACUCCAACGGCAUCACUGAGUAUAGAACCACGACCUAAAGGCACCUUACUCGUUGUCUGAAAAGUCUGUAACAUGAAACGUUACAGCCCGAAAACGGGUCAGCACAUGGAAUAUGCUGGCAAUGUAACACAUAGAGAAAUAUGAUGAAAUAAGCUAUACUACAUGCAUAUUUGGCUGGUGAAAAGCUCUAUGGUUACAUUUUUGCGUAAAGCCAAUUUUUCCCUACUGCAAAGGAAUAAAUUUAUUUAACUAUUAUGGUGGUUGUUAAACAUUGAGAAUGGUUGACAACAUUCUCAAUCCCAAUUAAGCAUCAUCAUUAAACCCAACAAAAUUAAUUAAAGUAACAUGAUGAGAUUCACAUGAUAUCCAAGUACUAGAUACUCUAGAUGUCCAUAACCGGGGACACGACUAACCAUGAUUAGUUUGUUACACUCUGCAGAGGUUUGCACACUUUUCCCCACAUGACUCGAUCUCCUCCGUUUGAUUUCUCGCACUUCAUGGUGUUAGAGAAACGGAUGACAGAGACAUAGUCUUUCAGAAGCGCUAGCACCUUACGAUGGGUAGACCGUACCAACCUACAUCCCCUACAUCUGCUAGUCUACCACUGUAAGAGUUCGCCCGACUUAGUCAACUAUGCUAGAGCCCAUAAUAGCAUGUGGCUGCACACGGAAGUUUCUAGCAUGAAUAAUCUUAUGAUCCCUUUGAGCCUGGGUGGCGGUCCAAAAACAAACAGGCAAUCCUGGAAUACCCAGGUACCUCAAUCCACCCAAAUGUGUAUUAAAGUUGCCACCUUAAAUAAACCAUUAAAUUAACAAUCUCACAUCUGUCAUGGAUACACUCACCCAAUCCACGUCUACUAGCAUAGCAUGGUAUAAUAAGCAAACGUAGAAGUAACUCACAAAGGUUUGAAAAUAAAACAGAUAAUAGGUACUACCUCAACUACUUCCCAAAACCCACAAAUUAAUUAGAUCCUAAUCAUGCAAUGUUUGAGGAUUGAUCUAAUGCAUAAAAACUGGGUAUGAGAAAGGAAUGAUCAAAGUGUUACUUGCCUUGCUGAUGAUCCGCGAAACCUAGAGACUCGAAAUAACAGGCGGCGCACUCCGGGUAUUCUAUCGCAGACAAACAAACAAGCAUACAAUAAGUACUCAUCUAAUGCACAGGUAAAACUCAAGUAAGAGAUCUAACCAGAAAGUUCAACUUAAGAACUCCGGUUUGCAAAAGAAAACAAAUCGAACGAAGAUACGAAAGUCAAACGGCGAAGAAAACAAGUUUUACUAAUCUGGAUUUAAGUCAAUUUUUACAGUAGCAAAAACUUGUUCAAGUUGGUUAUUCGGAAAGAGGGUUUCGAGACGAAACUCCAGGCGCUUGAAUCACCUGAUUCCGAUAAACGAGCGAAAAGUUAUACCAGAACGAAAAUCGGAUCAGAAAUCGCGAUCAGAAAAUCGCGGAUUAAAUCCGAGAAAAAGAAAAACGACGAACAGCUUAACGAACGAACGUUCGUUAACUGGAUCUAAACGACGAACACGUUCGUUAAAACGAAUGAAUGAGCGAACGCUCGCUAUUUAACCGAACCAAAAAAACCGAUCUAAUAAAAAAACGGAAACUAAAAAAAAAUCAGCGAAAAACCGAACGGUUUUUCGAGAAAACCGGCGGCGCGGAAAUCGAGGCACCUCGGGCGGUGGGCGGCGAGGCGGCGGGCGGCGGCUCCGGCAAGGUCGGCGGCUNNNNNNNNNNNNNNNNNNNNNNNNNNNNNNNNNNNNNNNNNNNNNNNNNNNNNNNNNNNNNNNNNNNNNNNNNNNNNNNNNNNNNNNNNNNNNNNNNNNNNNNNNNNNNNNNNNNNNNNNNNNNNNNNNNNNNNNNNNNNNNNNNNNNNNNNNNNNNNNNNNNNNNNNNNNNNNNNNNNNNNNNNNNNNNNNNNNNNNNNNNNNNNNNNNNNNNNNNNNNNNNNNNNNNNNNNNNNNNNNNNNNNNNNNNNNNNNNNNNNNNNNNNNNNNNNNNNNNNNNNNNNNNNNNNNNNNNNNNNNNNNNNNNNNNNNNNNNNNNNNNNNNNNNNNNNNNNNNNNNNNNNNNNNNNNNNNNNNNNNNNNNNNGUCGGUUUGUUUUUUUUAAAUAAUUUCAUGUAGAAAAUCAAACGAAAGAAAUACUAAACGGACUCCAAAAAUCCCGAAAUAAAUUUUCCCCGGCUUCUAAAAUCAAGCCGGGCAAGAUGAACAUUUAUUUGGGGCCUAAAUGCAAUUUUGGAAAAUGCAUAUUUUUCCUAAAUUCAAAUAAAAUAACGAAAAACUCCGAAAUAAAAUCCUAUUUGAUUUUAUUAUUAAAUCCUCAAUAUUUCUUUAUUUUGGGAAAGUCAUUUUAUUCCCUCUCUCAUAUUUUUGUAAUAGAAAUAAUUGAUGAUAAAAUAAAUCAAAUCAAAUGAUCCUAUUCCCAAAAUUUGAGAAAACUCAAAUAUGAAAAUAACGAAAUCCCCAACUCUCUCCGUGGGUCCUUGAGUUGCGUAGAAUUUCUAGGAUCAAAACCAAAAGCAAAUAAAAUAUGAUAUGCAUGGAUGAUCUAAUGUAUAACAUUCCAAAUUGAAAAUUUGGGAUGUUACAAACCUACCCCCCUUAAGAUGAAUCUCGCCCUCGAGAUUCGGGUUGGCUAGAAAAUAGGUGAGGGUGGUCCUUGAGCAAAUCUUCCUCUCGUUCCCAAGUGGCUUCGUCCUUCGAGUGGUGGCUCCACUGAACCUUACAGAACUUGAUAACCUUGCUGCGGGUGACUCUGCUGGCAAACUCGAGAAUCUUAACUGGUUUCUCCUCAUAGGUCAAAUUGUUAUCCAACUGAAUUGCUUCCAACGGCACUGUGUCUCUCAAUGGCAUGUCAGCCAUCUCUGCGUGGCACUUCUUCAACUGAGAAACAUGGAACACAUCGUGAAUACCUGACAAUCCCUCGAGUAAUUCCAACUUGUAAGCAACUUCUCCCAUAUGUUCCAAAACAUGAUAUGGUCCUACAAAUCGGGGCGCUAGCUUUCCUUUAACUCCAAUUCGCUUAACUCCUCGAAGCGGGGAUACUCGAAGAUAAACUCUGUCUCCAACUUCAUAUUCUGUUUCCUUGUGUUUUGAAUCCGCGUAGCUCUUCUGCCUGGACUGGGCUACCUUGAGCCUUUCGUGAAUUAACUUCACCUUCUGUUUAGACUCCUUAAUCAAAUCAGGUCCAAACAACUGGCGGUCUCCAACCUCGUCCCAUGACAACGGUGUCCUGCACCUCCUUCCGUACAAGGCUUCGAAAGGGGCCAUUUUCAAACUGGUUUGAUAGCUGUUGUUGUAAGAAAACUCUGCAUAUGGCAAAUUGUCAUCGCAACUUGAUCCAUAAUCUAGCGCACAAGCUCUCAGCAUAUCCUCCAAAAUCUGGUUGACUCUCUCGGUCUAUCCAUCUGUCUGUGGAUGAAAAGCUGUACUAAACUCUAGCCUGGUACCCAAAGUCUCGUGCAACUGCUUCCAGAACUUUGAAGUAAACUGGGUUCCUCUAUCUGAUACGAUACUCCUCGGAACUCCAUGCAAACAGACGAUCCUGUUCAUGUAUAUCUUGGCCAACUUAGCACUAGUGUAAGUGGUCUUUACUGGGAUGAAAUGUGCUACCUUCGUCAACCGAUCAACUACAACCCAAAUUGAGUCAUAGCCGGAACGAGUCCUUGGUAAUCCUGUGAUAAAAUCCAUGCCUAACUUAUCCCACUUCCAUUCGGGUAUCGGCAAUGGCUGUAGCAAUCCUACUGGCUUUUGAUGCUCUGCUUUUACUCUUUGACAUACAUCGCAAACUGCUACGUACUCCGCAAUGUCUUUCUUCAUUCCGGUCCACCAGAAUGUAUCCUUCAAAUCCAAAUGCAUCUUGGUAUUUCCUGGGUGAAUUGAAUACGGGUGAAUCAUGUGCUUCUUGCAGAAUCAACUUCCUAAUCUCCAGGUCGUUGGGCACAUAUACACGGUCUUCAAACCAUAGGGUAUCGUGUUCAUCCUCAUGAAAUCCCUUAGCUUUUCCCUGGCUCAUCUUCUCCUUAAUGGAAGCAACUUCCUUAUCUGUCCUUUGAGCUUCAUUUUAUCCAUCAAGGUGGACUGAAUUUCCAAUGCUGCUACAUAGCCUCUCGGAACUAUUUCCAAACAUAGCUCCCGGAACUCCUCGGCUAAUUCUUUUGGUAAACCUUCGGUCAUUAGGGUGUUGACAUGGCUCUUACGGCUCAACGCGUCUGCUACAAUGUUAGCCUUCCCGGGGUGAUAAUGCAAUCUCAUAUCGUAAUCUUUAAUAAGCUCCAACCAUCUCCUCUGCCUGAGAUUCAACUCCUUUUGCGUGAAGAUGUACUUUAAACUCUUGUGAUCGGUGUACACCUCACAGUGAUUUCCAACGAGAAAAUGUCUCCACGUUUUCAAUGCAUGUACUACAGCUGCUAACUCCAAAUCAUGCGUGGCAUAAUUCAAUUCGUGAGGUUUUAGUUGUCGUGAAGCGUAUGAAACAACUCUUCCCUCCUGCAUGAGCACUGCUCCAAGUCCUCGAUGUGAAGCGUCGCAAUACACGUCAUAAUCCUUGGUCUGAUCUGGCAGAAUUAACACUGGUGAGGUAACCAAACGUUUCUUCAACUCCUGGAAACUAGCCUCACACUCCUCAGUCCAUAUGAACUUGGUAUCCUUCUUCAACAAUUCCGUCAUAGGCUUCGCAAUUCUCGAGAAAUUCUCAAUGAAUCUUCAGUAGUAUCCUGCGAGUCCAAGGAAACUCCGAAUCUCUCCAACUGUUGUUGGUACUUCCCAGUUUGUCACAGUGGCAACUUUAGUGGGGUCUACUGCUAUUCCUUCUCCGGAUAUAACAUGUCCGAGAAAUCCAACUUCCUUCAACCAAAACUCACACUUGCUGAACUUGGCGUACAACUGAUGUUCUCUAAGCUUCUCGAGUACCAAACACAAGUGCUCCUUAUGUUCUUCUUCAUUCUUUGAGUAGACCAAAAUAUUGUCAAUGAAUACCACGACGAACUUAUCCAAAAACUCCAUAAACACCUUGUUUAUCAUGUUCAUAAAAUAGGCCGGGGCGUUAGUUAGACCAAAUGACAUAACGGUAUACUCAUACAACCCGUACCUGGUGGUAAAAGCCGUCUUAGGUAUAUCCUACUCUCGAAUCUUCAACUGAUGAUAUCUUGAUCGCAAAUCAAUCUUGGAAAACACCUUUGCUCCUUGCAAGCGGUUAAACAGAUCAUUGAUCAUCGGCAACGGGUAUUUGUUCUUAAUGGUCACUUCAUUCAAUCCUCGAUAAUCAACAACCAUUCUUAAUGAUCCAUCCUUCUCCUCCACUAGAAGUACUGGCGAUCCCAAAGGUGAAGAACUUGGGCGGAUAAAACCUUUGUCCAACAACUCCUUAAUCUGUUUCUUAAUUUCCUCCAAAUCUUGGGAUGGCAUCCUAUAUGGUCUCUUAGAUAUUGGCCCAGUGCCUGGCAGUAGUUCAAUCAGAAACUCAAUGUCUCUGUCCGGUGGCAUGCCUGGCAACUCUUUAAGAAAAACAUCCGGGAAAUCCCUUACCACUGGUACUUCCUCCUGCACAACUCCUGAUAAGGAAUUUACAUGUGCCCUCCUCGGCUCAUGCCGUGAUAUACUUGAUCCUCCUUCCUUUUGGGGUGGUAAGCAAAAUCGACUUACUGGCGCAAUCUAUGUUCCCUCCAUACUCCGAUAACCAAUCCAUGCCUAAUAUCACAUCCAAUCCUUGCGAUUCCAGAACUAUUAGGUCCGAGGGAAAAACAUAGUGUCCAAUCCUUAAUGGUAAUCGAUCACACCAUAUACUAGCCAUGUAUUCUGCUACGGGUGAGGUUACUAGCAUGGGUGACCUAAGGGCUUGGGUUGGUAAUUUAUACUUAUCCACAAAUCCCCUUGAUAUGUAUGAAUGCGAUGCACCAGUAUCAAAAAGAACAACUGCAGUAAAUGUCUUAACCAAAAACUUACCUAUUACUGCGUCUGGAUGAGCUUCAACCUCCUCCAGGGUAACGUGGUUCACCUGUCCCCUGUUGAAAGGGUUCGGCUUCUUGCCUGAGCUUCCAUUGCCGUUACCAUUUUGGGAUUCUGGACAUUCAUUUGCAUAAUGCCCAGUCUUACGACACUUAAAACAAGUGAUAUGGCUCAGGUCUACCUUGGAUGGUGUUGACGGGUUGGUGCGGUUUUGUCCAUUGUUUCCUCCAUUCCCGUUUCCAUUCUUUGUGCCAUUAUGAUUGUGUGAGCUACCUCCUCCAUGAGUAUGCUGAAAUUGCCCUCCCGGUUUAGGGGUAAGACGGGGCUUUUGUUGGGCUCCAGAGUUAUACUUCCCCUGUCCAUACUUCCGCUUGCGGUUUUCAAUCUGUUGCUGCUUCCCUUCAAUCAUAAGAGCAUGAUCUACCAACUCCUGGUAGUUGUUGAAAUUUUCCACCAUCAACUGCAUGCUCAGCUCAUCAUUCAGCCCUUCCAGAAACUUCUCCUGCUUAGCCGCACCCGUAGCAAUGUCAUCUGGGGCAUAACAUUCUAGUUUGCUAAAGUCAUCCACAUACUGGCCAACUGUCCGUCCUCCUUGGCGCAAGUUGCGAAACUCACGCUUCUUCAUGGCCAUAGCUCCUGCUAAAACAUGGGCAGUACGGAAUGCCUGCUGAAACUGAUCCCAUGUGACAGUGUCUACAGGAUAAGCGGCUGUAAAAUUCUCCCACCAUGCCGCUGCGGGUCCAUCAAGCUGGUGUGCGGCAAAUUGCACCUUCUCCGCAUCUGUGCAACCUGCAGUGGUCAACUCCCUCCCUGUGUUGCGGAGCCAAUCAUCUGCUACUAUCGGCUCGGUGCUACUAGAGAACACCGGCGGAUUCAGCCUAAGAAAACGGGUUAAAUGAUCAACAGGUGGUGGCGGUGGUGGAUUGUUGUUGUUAUUUCCCUGAUUCUGAUUCUGGACUAAUAUCUGCAUCAAUGCAUUCUGCUGCUAGAUCAAUUGGGUGAGCUCCGGUGAAAUCCAUUGUCACGUCUCGGAGGCAUAUGAGGGUUUAGAAAAGAUGAGAAUUAAGAACAGAAUGAGGUCUAAAGAGAAAGCACUAACCAAUUGCACAUGAGGCAAAUGCACACAAAAUCACUUCAUUCAAUCAAACAAGGGCAUACAAUCGGUCUAGAACUAUCGCAAAAGUGUGUGGACUAUACUAGAUACAUGGUGGAACACUACUACUGUUAUGGUAGUCGACUAGAAAACCUGCUCCAUUGAAGACUCCAUGAUAUCUGCUCCAGCUUCAUCAACAUAAUCAUCAUCACUAUCAUCUGGGUCCGAGUCGGUGUCGUCAAUGAUGAUGUAGUUCUCUGGGCAUGUGAAAUCUUCGUCUUCUCCUUCUGUCGCAGGAAAUCCCAUAAAGACUUUCAGCUUCUUCUUCAGAUCAUCGCUCUUCUCAACUAGUGUUGCUAUUUCCUCCUCGUAUCCAUCACGUGUAGACUUGAGUUCUUCCUCCAGUUCCGUGAUUUUGGCCAUGGCCUUCUUUAGAUCCAUCAUCCCUGUGCACAUUUGGUUCUCCUGGCGUCGGAUGUGCUGGUUCAACUCCUGGAUGAAAGCUGCAAUUGAGCGGUCCUUCCGGGUGCUGAUCAUCUCCCAUUUCUCAUCUCGGCGCCCACAAAUCUGGUAGAUAGUAUCCUUAAGUUCCUUAUGAUAGACUUCUCCAGUACGUCCCAUGGAAAUGUGGGCUGCCAUGCUCUUUCCUAGGUUCCAGGUUGGUGCAUCAAAGGAAAACUCUAUGGUCUCAGUGACGGGCAUGAAGGUCCUUCCUGGAAUUUGAACUUGAAUCUUCCAACGCUCCUCUUCAGGUAAAGUGGCGUUGUAGGUUCCGGUGAAGCUUGGUACUCCGAUCUUCAAGUACUUGGUGACUUCCUUCAGGUGUCGUCCAAAGGGUGUAUCUUCAUCCGGUUGCAUGAACUUGUUCCUUGCAUCCGCCAUCCUAAAGAAUAGAAAGGAUGAGGAGUCAGAAAAUGAGAAGAGAGUAGCAUUCUAGGGCUUUUGCUUAGUGGUCGUGUCCUACAGUCAGCGUCUGCUCUGAUACCAUCUUUGUAGCGACCAGACCUCAAACAGUCUGAUCUCUGUGCUCAGGUGUCAUCCCUAGAUCAGUAAUGUUGACACCACACAAUACUUGAAGGAUUUAUAACAGAGUAGCAAUCACACACUUAUUACAUUGAAUGUCUCAAGAGAGAACUUAUUAAAAUAAAUAUGGCUUAGGGCCAUCUAAUAACGAUAACAGCGGAAGACUUGGAAGAUAAGCGAGUCCAUCAACUCCAACGGCAUCACUGAGUAUAGAACCAGGACCUAAAGGCACCUUACUCGUCGUCUGGAAAGUCUGCAACAUGAAACGUUGCAGCCCGAAAACGGGUCAGCACAUGGAAUAUGCUGGCAAUGUAACACAUAGAGAAAUACGAUGGAAUAAGCUAUACUACAUGCAUAUUUGGCUGGUGGAAAGCUCUAUGGUUACAGUUUUGUGUAAAGCCAAUUUUUCCCUACUGCAAAGAAAUAAAUUUAUUUAACUAUCAUGGUGGUUGUUAAACAUUGAGAAUGGUUGACAGCAUUCUCAAUCCCAAUUAAGCAUCAUCAUUAAACCCAACAAAAUUAAUUAAAGUAACAUGAUGAGAUUCACAUGAUAUCCAAGUACUAGAUACUCUAGAUGUACAUAACCGGGGACACGGCUAACCAUGAUUAGUUUGUUACACUCUGCAGAGGUUUGCGCACUUUUCCCCACAUGACUCGAUCUCCUCCGUUUGAUUUCUCGCACUUCAUAGUGUUAGAGAAACGGAUGACCUAGACAUAGUCUUUCAGAAGUGCUAGCACCUUACGAUGGGUAGACCGUACCAACCUACAUCCCCUACAUCUUCUAGUCUACCACUGUAAGAGUUCGCACGACUUAGUCAACUAUGCUAGAGCCCAUAAUAGCAUGUGGCUGCACACGUAAGUUUCUAGCAUGAAUAAUCUUAUGAUCCCUUUGAGCCUGGGUGGCGGUCCAAAAACAAACAGGCAAUCCUGGAAUACCCAGGUACCUCAAUCCACCCAGAUGUGUAUUAAAGUUGCCACCUUAAAUAAACCAUUAAAUUAACAAUCUCACAUCUGUCAUGGAUACACUCACCCAAUCUACGUCUACUAGCAUAGCAUGGUAUAAUAAGCAAACGUAGAAGUAACUCACAAAGGUUUGAAAAUAAAACAGGUAAUAGGUACUACCUCAACUACUUCCCAAAACCCACAAAUUAAUUAGAUCCUAAUCAUGCAAUGUUUGAGGAUUGAUCUAAUGCAUAAAAACUGGGUAUGAGAAAGGAAUGAUCAAAGUGUUACUUGCCUUGCUGAUGAUCCGCGAAACCUAGAGAUUCGAAAUAACAGGCGGCGCACUCUGGGUAUUCUAUCGCAGACAAACAAACAAGCAUACAAUAAGUACUCAUCUAAUGCACAGGUAAAACUCAAGUAAGAGAUCUAACCAGAAAGUUCAACUUAAGAACUCCAUUUGCAAAAGAAAACAAAUCGAACGAAGAUACGAAAGUCAAACGGCGAAGAAAACAACUUCGUUUUACUAAUCUGGAUCUAAGUCAAUUUUUACAGUAGCAAAAACUUGUUCAAGUUGGUAAUUUGGAAAGAGGGUUUCGAGGCGAAACUCCAGGCGCUUGAAUCACCUGAUUCCGAUAAACGAGGGAAAAGUUAUACCAGAACGAAAAUCGGAUCAGAAACCGCGAUCAGAAAAUCGCGGAUUAAAUCCGAGAAAAAGAAAAACGACGAACAGCUUAACGAACGAACGUUCGUUAACUGGAUCUAAACGACGAACACGUUCGUUAAAACGAACGAACGAGCGAACGCUCGCUAUUUAACCGAACCAAAAAAACUGAUCUAAUAAAAAAACGGAAACAAAAAAAACCGGCGAAAAACAGAACGGUUUUUCGAGAAAACCGGCGGCGCGGAAAUCGAGGCACCUCGGGCGGCGGCGGCUGACGGCGGCGCGCGGGUGGCGGCGGCGGCGCGGGGAUCAAGGCGGCGGCGCGGCUAGGGUUUGGGCGGCGGUGGGCUGGCAGGGCGGGCUGGCAGCUCGGGCGGCGCUUUAUAUAGGCUGCCCCCAGGCGGAGUCCCGCUCGUGUACGGCCCGUAGGUCGGUUCGUUUUUUUUAAAUAACUUCGCGUAGAAAAUCAAACGAAAGAAAUACUAAACGGACUCCAAAAAUCCCGAAAUAAAUUUUCCCCGACUUCUAAAAUCAAGCCGGGCAAGAUGAACAUUUAUUUGGGGCGAAAAUGCAAUUUUGGAAAACGCAUAUUUUUCCUAAAUUCAAAUAAAAUAACGAAAAACUCCGAAAUAAAAUCCUAUUUGAUUUUAUUAUUAAAUCCUCAAUAUUUCUUUAUUUUGGGAAAGUCAUUUUAUUCCCUCUCUCAUAUUUUUGUAAUAGAAAUAAUUGAUGAUAAAAUAAAUAAAAUCAAAUGAUCCUAUUCCAAAAUUUGAGAAAACUCAAAUAUGAAAAUAACAAAAUCCCCAACUCUCUCCGUGGGUCCUUGAGUUGCGUAGAAUUUCUAGGAUCAAAACCAAAAGCAAAAAAAAAUAUGAUAUGCAUGGAUGGUCUAAUGUAUAACAUUCCAAAUUAAAAAUUUGGGAUGUUACAAUUCCAUAGCCACAAAGAGAGACAAGACCAACGGAGAAGUCGAAAGGCGUAUCGUCUCGCAGCUGCUCACUCUCAUGGAUGGCCUCAAAGCCCGUGCACAUGUUAUUGACAUGGGUGCUACCAACCGCCCGAACAUCAUCGACCCUGCUCUCAGAAGGUUUGGCAGGUUUGACCGGGAGAUCGACAUUGGAGUCCCCGAUGAAGUUGGGCGGCUUGAGGUUCUCCGGAUUCACACCAAAAACAUGAAGCUAGCUGAAGAUGUUGAACUAGAGCAUGUCUCAAGGGACACUCAUGGGUAUGUCGGCGCUGAUCUCGCCGCCCUUUGUACCGAGGCUGCUCUCCAGUGCAUUCGCGAGAAGAUGGAUGUUAUCGACCUCGAGGAUGACACCAUUGAUGCUGAGAUACUGAAUUCUAUGGCUGUCAUGAAUGACCAUUUCAAGAUUGCACUGGGCACAAGCAACCCUUCCGCUCUUCAUGAAACUGUCGUGGAAGUUCCAAAUGUCUCUUGGGAAGACGUUGGUGGUCUGGAGGGUGUCAAAAGGGAGCUGCAGGAGACCGUCCAGUAUCCGGUGGAAUACCCAGAGAAGUUUGAGAAGUUUGGCAUGUCUCCCUCCAAAGGUGUUCUGUUCUACGGCCCUCCGGGCUGCGGCAAGACCUUGUUGGCCAAGGCGAUUGCUAACGAGUGCCAGGCUAACUUCAUCAGCAUCAAAGGACCGGAGCUGCUUACCAUGUGGUUUGGUGAGAGCGACGCCAAUGUGCGUGAGAUUUUCGACAAGGCCAGGGGGUCGGCACCAUGUGUCCUCUUCUUCGAUGAGCUCGACUCGAUUGCCACGCAGAGAGGAAGCAGUGUAGGCGAUGCCGCUGAUAGGGUGCUGAAUCAGCUUCUCACCAAGAUGGACGGAAUGAAUGCCAAGAAAACCGUGUUCAUCAUCGGUGCCACCAACAGGCCAGACAUCAUAGACCCUACCUUGCUGAGGCCUGGGCGCCUUUAUCAGCUUAUCUACAUUCCUCUCCCCGACAUUGAAUCCAGGCUCCAGAUCUUCAGGGCCUGCCUUAGGAAGUCUCCUGUGGCCAAGGAUGUCGACCUGAAUGCGCUCGCCAAAUACACACAAGGGUUCAGCGGCGCGGACAUCACGGAAAUCUGCCAGCGUGCGUGCAAAUAUGCCAUCAGAGAAAACAUUGAGAAGGACAUGGAAAAGGAGAGGCGACUGAAGGAAAACCCUGAAGCCAUGGAGGAAGACGAGAUGGAUGAGAUCAAGGCUGCUCACUUCGAGGAGAGCAUGAGGUAUGCACGCCGGAGUGUGACCGAUGCUGAUAUUCGCAAAUACCAUACCUUUGCUCAGACACUGCAGCAGUCCCGUGGUAUUGGCAGCGAGUUCCGGUUCCCUGACCAGCCGGCGGCGGGUGCUACAGCUGCGGCCAAUCCUUUCGCGGCCGCUGCCACUGCAGCUGAAGUAGAUGAUUUGUACAGUUAAAUCAUGUGUUGUCUCUUGAACUUACUGUAUUAUAUUAGGAGUAUGCAUCUGUAAGAGAUAGGAAGAUCAUGUAACUAUAUUUUUACGUGCAGUGUUGUGAUGUGUAUAUACGCUAAAGUUUGAAGAUUGUAUCCUCCACCUAAAAGAAAGAAAAAAGCAUUUCCUCUCGACUCCUAUUCCAGUUUGUGUGCCAAGGAUAUAUCCAUUGGCCUGUGGUAAAGCUCUGUUGUUCUGUACAUGCCCUAUCAAAGGGUAAUAGCAAUUUAGCAUUAUACGCGAUGCCAUUUUUCUCUUUGAAAUGUACUAAUUCGAUUCCUUCUCCUACCUAAUAAAUCUUCUGUCAUAUAAUGCUAAAUAAAACUUCUGUCGUACUACACAUUUUGUUGUUGCAAAUGAUUACCUCUACUGAGAAGUAAGAAAUACCCCAGCCUCUCUCAAUGUUGGCAAAUUAGUUCAGCAUUACCUAAAAGUCUCUACAAUGCUCGAGUAUCAAAUUUUUGGAUUCUCUGAAAAAGUAACCAAAAUAAUUUGCAAGGCAGUAGAUUAUUCAUGUUGGUAUUAAUUAGUUAGUUAUUCACAUAAGAUCCUUUGGUAUCUGCUGUUGCAUCAGCGGAAGAAGACGAUGAUUUAUACUACAGUUGAAUUUUCUGUUCUGCCAUGAACUUACUCUUAAGAAACACAAACCUCUGAUGACCUAUUGUCUAGUGUCCACGAGUAGAGUCCAAUCAGUGUGCCAGGUAUUGGCAUGUGGUAAUUGUUGUCCCUGUAGAUAGUACCUUUGCUGCUCCCUUAGGACAUCUCCAGCCGCGCCCCCAGGAAGGCCUCCCCAGACGAUUUUUUCGCGCCGGCGCCAAAAAAACGGCCCAGUCGCGCCCCCAGGAGCCCAAUUUUCGCCGGCUUGGGCCGAAAACAGCGCCGGUGGACCCAGCCCAAACCCGGCACGCUGGGGGGGCGCCCGGGGGCGCCGGGGCGAGCUGUUUUGGCGCGAAAAAGACGCGGGCCAGCUGCGUCAGCGACUCGGCGCCUCGUCUUCCCCCAACGGCCUCGGUUCCCGCGGGGAAUCAAUGGCAAGGCUGCCGCCGGUUAGCCUUGCCAUUGAUUCCUCACGGGCGGCGCUUCACGGGACGGCGCGCCGACGCCUCCCCUCCCUCGCACGCGUACACAUGGGCGCGGCCCGGCUAUAAAAGCCGGCGCCCUCCACUCGCCUGUGCCCACACCAGCCCCGCCCCUCGCCGCCGUCCAGCCCCUCCCUCUCCCUGCCUCUCCCGAGCGCCGCCGCCCAACCUCUCCCGAGCCCGCCUAGCCCCGCCGUCGCCAUGGCAAAGCGCUUCCCCGGAGACGAGGCGGCGGCCAACGGCUUCGGCCGCCGUUCGCUCCGCGAACAGGAGUCCUGGCUCCUGUUCCAGGCGAACAUCCCGGCGUCGCCGGACAUGCGCGCCGAGCCGACGGGGUGGAGACUCAGCGCCGGGGGAGUGCCCAUUCCCCCGUUGCCCGACGCCGUGGCGAAGCCGAAGUACUUCGCCGAGGAGGUCGAGAUUGUGCGCGCGUCCCUCACCGACGCCCAACUCUCCCUCCCACAGUACGCCGCCGACAACCACGCGGCCUGGGCGGCGUAUUUCGAGCGCCGCUAGCAGCAGCGAUUCGCGUCCACCAAUGGCGCGCCGGUGGUCGGCGGCCGGCAGAACAGCGAGGGGCGCCACCUCUGGUGGGGCAUCCCCGACCGCACACUCGAGGGCAUGCUCACGUACCUCGAGGGCGGAAACGACCCGCCGUUGGCGUACCCCCCGGCGCAGCACCGACGCGUCGGGCCAUGGGCGCCAAGGAGGUUCGGGUCCUCCUCCUCCUCUUCCUCCUCCCGAUCCUCAUCGCACUCCUCCGACACUCUGGCCCUGCUCGGCAUCAAGGCCGAGCCCGCGGCGGAGUCGCUGCUUGGCCGGCGCACUUGCAGCGCAUGCAUCGUCAUCAACGAGGGCGGCCGGCGCGCCUCCUCCUCGUCGGCUCCUCCGCGCUUCGUCAAGCCAAAGACGGAGCCGGGGCUGGCGCCGGUGAAGACGGAGCCGGGGCUGGCGCCGGUGAAGGCGGAGUUCGACGAUGACGACGCAGCCCUAGAAUGGGCGCGCCAGGACUCCAUUGCGAUGGAGAAGGCGCGCCGGGAGAAGGCGAAGGAGCGCCAGUGCGCCGCCCUGCGCUGCUUCGAGGAGCGCCGACGCGGCCGCGAUGAAGACGGGGUCGUCGUCCUAUGCGACAGUGGCAACGACGAUGACGACGCACCGCCGCCAGUCCGCCAUGGCGACGCUGGGUCCAGCAGGGGCGCCCGCGUCAAGGAGGAGAAGGCCGACGACGACGAUGGCGGCGACGACUUCAGCCCCUUUCUUUUUUAGAUUAGGUUAAUGUAAUGAAAAUGCGCGAAUGUCACCGAAAUUUGCCAUGUUUAGCCGAAAUUUAACUACUUUUUUAUCAUAACUUCGCGAACGACCCUUUUUUAAUACGCGCAUGGGGGCGGCCCUGGGGGCCGAGGGCUGGGGAGCGACUCGCCCCCAGGGCCAUUUUUUGCACCGGCUCACCCCCAGGCAGCGCUUUUAGACGCCCCCUGGGGGGCCAAUGGCUGGAGAUGCCCUUAGAUGCUCAGUAUUGGCCUGUUGCACAUGUUAUUCUUAUGUCACUUCUCCAAAGCGGCUUGGUUUUCACAUCCUUGGUACAUCAGAACUGAAAUGUUAGCUGCCACACAUCAAACUAUACCCAAUAUGAUACAGUAUUUGCUUUCUUCCAAUCACCCUCACAUUUCAACUAUUAAUCUCUAUACUUUUCUCUGGUGUUUAUGGAAAGUGAGAAAUGACUAUUUAUUUAAUUGCAAGAACAUUAAGCCAGAGCAAGUUUUUGUUGUGUACAAUGCUGUUAUGCAGGACACAGACACUUCACUGAUGAAGGAGUUACAUGUUCAUGAUUCAACUUGGAAGGGACAUCACGGUCAGCCAGAACAGCUAAAGCUUUCUACUGUUCUUACUUCUCAGUCUACAAUAGAUUUUCCAGGUACACACAUAUACUCAGAUGCAACUUGGUCGUUGGAGCAGGACAAGCUGCAGCAAAGGCGGGUAUAGGUGUUUUUCUACAAAUUAACGGGCAACAUACCGACCAUCUAUACAUCUCUGCUGUGUCGCCACCAGUAGCAUCAGCUUUGCAGGCAGAAGCUUAUGGACUGCUGUUGGCGGUGAAGAUUGCAGCUCAACUACAUGUGCAGGAUCCGAAGUUUUUGACAGACUCUGAAGUGCUUGCCUCAGCGGUUGUACAACCUAAUAUUAGUAAAGCAGGUCCGUGGGCUAUCCGGCCAAUCUUAGCUUCUAUCCAGACCACGCCUUCAUUUCAUCCAUAUAGAAUACUCAAAGUGCACAGAAGUCUGAAUUUCAAGGCACACCAUCAGGCUAGACUUGCUGUCAAAGUGCAAGAUAAACCUUUUAGCUCUACUUGCCUACAUUCAGAUCAAGGUUUAGGUACUAAUUUGGAACGAUGUCCUACCUGUAAUGAGCUAUCAGCAAUGAGUGCUCAGCCACUCGAGUUGCUAUUUGUAAAGUGUGCUUAAUGCCAUAUUAAUGAAAUCCUUCUGUUAAAAAAAACAUUGCUCCACCAUUUCUGAUGUGUGGGUGGGAUGACCAUGCUCUCAAGCUUUAACUUUGGAAGGACUUUUACCCCAGCUGUGAUGGAUUUUUGGUAUGAGGUAGAGCAGAUUGCCUCCAGCAUUAACAAGGUCAAGGGCAUGGCUGCCCAAAAAUAUCUGGCAAUAUACCGACAGCGGAUUUACUCAACCAGCCCACUCUAGAAAAAUUAUUAAAUACAUGCUCCUUCAGAAGUUGAGAUUUUCCUCUGGCUAGUAAGUAGUAUCUCAUAACAAAAUGAUGGCCAUGAACAAUCUGAGAAGGGGAAAAAUGAAUAAAGUAGCAGAGGAUCGUGCCUUCUGUUCAGAAAAAGAAAUUGUGCAUCUAUCACCUACAAACCUUUUCCUAUUUCUGUCGUUCCUACAUUCCUACGGCAUUUUAUCCUCUAUUCCAAACAGGGCCUUAGAUAUGUUUUCUCUGCUAGCUUACAUUCAAAUAGUUGUGCUAUCUGAUCGGCCUAUUAACCAACUGUGUUGCUGAAAACUCCCAUCCAUGACUUUUUCUGUAUCUCCACAAUUUGGUGCUUGUUUUGCUGUCAUCCUGAU
RNAcentral lists this long non-coding RNA (37477 nucleotides) under Triticum aestivum (bread wheat). Its description in RNAcentral is "long non-coding RNA (TAES_LNC006316)". The record is from RNAcentral. Lineage: Eukaryota; Viridiplantae; Streptophyta; Magnoliopsida; Poales; Poaceae.